This 68-nucleotide small RNA is filed under the name Salix viminalis (osier). The record is from RNAcentral. Lineage: Eukaryota; Viridiplantae; Streptophyta; Magnoliopsida; Malpighiales; Salicaceae.
GUCACAGGUGAUGAAAAAAGUGGGUCACUUUUGUGCUUUUUCAUGGCCCUUUCUGCUCAAUCUGUGAU